AGAACGAACGCUGACGGCGGGGUUUAGGCAUGCAAGUCGCGCGAGAAAGUCUUCGGACGAGUACAGCGGCGUAAGGGUGAGGAAUAGGUAGUCAACGUACCGUAGAGACGCGAAUAAUUUUCCGAAAGGGAUUGUAAUGCGCGAUGUUGCCACUUGGACUCAGGUCUAGGUGGUGAAAGCCGGGGAUCCUUCGGGACCUGGCGCUCUAUGAGCGGACGACCUCCGAUUAGCUAGUUGGCGGGGUAAUGGCCCACCAAGGCUGUGAUCGGUA
This 271-nucleotide ribosomal RNA is filed under the name uncultured soil bacterium. RNAcentral's name for it is "partial 16S ribosomal RNA". It matches the Rfam family "Bacterial small subunit ribosomal RNA", at positions 26 to 285 of the family's 1533-position model. The record is from RNAcentral.